Molecule: long non-coding RNA, 1105 nt
Organism: Pseudophryne corroboree (corroboree frog)
Lineage: Eukaryota; Metazoa; Chordata; Amphibia; Anura; Myobatrachidae
Exons: 3
Source: RefSeq, a predicted model, not a curated record
GCAACUUCACAGCUGCGUCUCCAGCCUGAGCUGCCUGUGGCAGCAGUACAUUAGAGAGAUGAAUUGGCCCGGCGUUAGGAGGGGAAGGAGGGGGAGGUGCACAGAGAGGACGGAGCUCAGCCCACCGGCAAAACAUCCCGGCAUCCCGGUGUACCAAUCCGCCCCUGAGUCAUGUGCUGCUAAUUAUUUAACUUGUGAUGCUGAGGAGAUUUGUAACACAUACAAGUCUGGAGGACUGGAGAUCACUGCUCUGCUGCAUGUUUUAUCUCUCAGCAACUUGGAGUCGGUCCUCCUAAACUCGAUGGAAAAGUAUCAACUCAAUGUGGAUCUAUGCUGACCUCUUAAGAGAAAUGACAGCAUUAUACUGUCAUAAGCUACCAUACCAGUGGGAUUAGCGAUAUGGAACUUCCUUAGCUGUGGAACGCAUUAAUCGUGCACUUCCGGGUCCGGGAAUGUGAUGGUGGAACGCAUGAAGAACUUCCUGUACAGCAGCAGUGAAACACAUACAUAUUUCCGCUUCCGCUUCCGGUCACGGACACCACGCUGCUGAUGGCUGGAAAAGCGGAUCCACAGGGUGUCCAUUAUAGUUAAUAGAUAAGGGUAUAAAUACCCUGACUACGGACACCACCACUAUGCUUCUGAGGAAGGACCAUAGUGUCCGAAACGCGUUAAGCAAGUGGUGUUUUUCUUUGGACUGACGGUGGACUUGCCUGGUACAUCAAAUAUUUUUACAUUGGUGGAAUCCGGAACUUCCAGUGUUUAUCCCUGAUGACAUCCUGGGAGGGUAAUUGAUGGGGUCUGAUGCAAGCACCUCACUCCUAUCCACAAUUGUGUGGUUACAUGCUUUUAAACGUUUGUCUAUUGCGAGUGUUCUGUGAAAAUGAAUUUCUUUGUCUCUGUGAAAAUGCUCUGCACUAUGAUCUUUUCUCUUGCCCCGAGAUAAGUACUUGUCCGUUUGGACGAAAUAUAGAGCAUAAGGAUAUGGAACUUUUUACGCUACUUGUUUGUUUGGACGAAGCACAGAGAAUUUGUAUAAGGAUACAGAACCAUCUAUUUGUAGGUUAUUUCAUUAACUGAAUUCUAUGUAUGGUUUUUGCACCUACUG